GAGGGUACAGCUCAGUGGUAGAGCACAUGCUUAGCAUGCACAAGGUCCUGGGUUCAAUCCCCAGUACCUCCA
This is a transfer RNA of Camelus ferus (Wild Bactrian camel), 72 nucleotides long. It matches the Rfam family "tRNA". From Rfam's summary of the family: Transfer RNA (tRNA) molecules are approximately 80 nucleotides in length. Their secondary structure includes four short double-helical elements and three loops (D, anti-codon, and T loops). Further hydrogen bonds mediate the characteristic L-shaped molecular structure. tRNAs have two regions of fundamental functional importance: the anti-codon, which is responsible for specific mRNA codon recognition, and the 3' end, to which the tRNAs corresponding amino acid is attached (by aminoacyl-tRNA synthetases). tRNAs cope with the degeneracy of the genetic code in two manners: having more than one tRNA (with a specific anti-codon) for a particular amino acid; and 'wobble' base-pairing, i.e. permitting non-standard base-pairing at the 3rd anti-codon position. The record is from Rfam. NCBI's taxonomy places the organism in Eukaryota, Metazoa, Chordata, Mammalia, Artiodactyla, Camelidae.